GAACUGAAACAUCUAAGUACCCCGAGGAAAAGAAAUCAACCGAGAUUCCGAAAGUAGCGGCGAGCGAAAUUGGACUAGCCCUUAAGCUUUACACGCGUUAGACGAACGGUCUGGAAAGUCCGACGAUACAGGGUGAUAGUCCCGUAGUUGACGACGUGUGUUCAGUGAAAUCGAGUAGGGCGGGACACGUGAUAUCCUGUCUGAAUAUGGGGGGACCAUCCUCCAAGGCUAAAUACUACUGACUGACCGAUAGUGAACCAGUACCGUGAGGGAAAGGCGAAAAGAACCCCUGUGAGGGGAGUGAAAUAGAACCUGAAACCGUGUACGUACAAGCAGUAGGAGCAGGCUU
This 349-nucleotide ribosomal RNA is filed under the name Vibrio parahaemolyticus. RNAcentral's name for it is "partial 23S ribosomal RNA". It matches the Rfam family "Bacterial large subunit ribosomal RNA", at positions 190 to 586 of the family's 2925-position model. The record is from RNAcentral. Lineage: Bacteria; Pseudomonadati; Pseudomonadota; Gammaproteobacteria; Vibrionales; Vibrionaceae.